ACCCGGAGGAAGAGAAAGAAAAUUCGAUUCCCUUAGUAGCGGCGAGCGAAACGGGAAGAGCCCAAACCAACAAGCUUGCUUGUUGGGGUUGUAGGACACUCUAUACGGAGUUACAAAGGACGACAUUAGACGAAUCAUCUGGAAAGAUGAAUCAAAGAAGGUAAUAAUCCUGUAGUCGAAAAUGUUGUCUCUCUUGAGUGGAUCCUGAGUACGACGGAGCACGUGAAAUUCCGUCGGAAUCUGGGAGGACCAUCUCCUAAGGCUAAAUACUCUCUAGUGACCGAUAGUGAACCAGUACCGUGAGGGAAAGGUGAAAAGCACCCCGGAAGGGGAGUGAAAUAGAACCUGAAACCGUGUGCUUACAAGUAGUCAGAGCCCGUUAAUGGGUGAUGGCGUGCCUUUUGUAGAAUGAACCGGCGAGUUACGAUUUGAUGCAAGGUUAAGCAGUAAAUGUGGAGCCGUAGCGAAAGCGAGUCUGAAUAGGGCGUUUAGUAUUUGGUCGUAGACCCGAAACCAGGUGAUCUACCCUUGGUCAGGUUGAAGUUCAGGUAACACUGAAUGGAGGACCGAACCGACUUACGUUGAAAAGUGAGCGGAUGAACUGAGGGUAGCGGAGAAAUUCCAAUCGAACCUGGAGAUAGCUGGUUCUCUC
RNAcentral lists this ribosomal RNA (652 nucleotides) under Staphylococcus aureus. RNAcentral's name for it is "partial 23S ribosomal RNA". It matches the Rfam family "Bacterial large subunit ribosomal RNA", at positions 208 to 859 of the family's 2925-position model. Lineage: Bacteria; Bacillati; Bacillota; Bacilli; Caryophanales; Staphylococcaceae. The record is from RNAcentral.